CCGAAAGUUUCUCGUAACUAUCGAUUUGGUGGAAACGAGAGACAUAUCAAUCCAGCUUGCGAACAACACAAUUCGAAACCCUGCAAUUAUUUUUAUUUUUUUUGAUAUUUUUCUUUUACUUAGGAGGACUCAAGAAGUAACCACAGGAAAUUUGAGCUUAAACAAGUGAAAGACGUGGCCUGUGGAAUUUUUUGAAGAUUGUGAAAAAUAUGAAAAAAAAAUUUAGGACGUGAAAACUCAAACUUCAGAGGCGAAUUUGGGGAUUCUAAAAUUGUCGAACUCGCCAAAGGCGAGGAUAGAUAGAUCCAAAAAAAUUUUCUGAUCGAUUCUGGUAUAUGGAACGUCAAAAUUGGAGUUCGUAUGCGAAAGUUAUGGCUGUUUUACGAACGGAAUCCGAAUUAGAGGACAAAACGGUCCUGAAGUGAGAAAAAUUUGCGGUGUUGGCUAGAAAUUGAUGGAAACAGUGGGAAAAAACACACAAACUCGACUGCAACAAGACCUAACCAGUAUCAGGACGUCGACCAGGACACAAACUCAACACUACGGACUCUGAAACUGAAAUAUGCAAAGGCUAUGGCCCGGAUGGGUUGUAGGACAUGAAAACAAUAUGGCACUAGACUUAUGGGACGAACACAAGGACACUUGAAACUAAGGGUAGAUGUGAACCUAACGGUAUGUUUGAAGCUUUGAUUACCACUUGAGGAGAACAAGUGUGGCCCGAUCUUCCGAAAGUUUCUCAUAACUAUCGAUUUGGUGGAAACGAGAGACAUAUCAAUCCAGUUUGCGAACAAUACAAUUCGAACCAUGCAAUUCUUUUUUUUUUGAUAUUUUUCUUUUACUUAGGAGCACUCAAGAAGUAACCAUAGGAAAUUUGAGCUUAAACAAUUGAAAGACGUGGCCUGUGGAAUUUUUUGAAGAUUGUCAAAAAUAUGAAAAAAACUAGGAGGUGAAAACUCAAACUUCGGAGGCAAAUUUGGGGAUUCUAAAAUUGUCGAACCCGCCAAAGGCGGGGAUAGACAGAUCCAAAAAUUUUUUCUGAUCGAUUUUGAUAUAUGGAACGUCAAAAUUAGAGUUCGUAUACGAAAGUAAUGGCUGUUUUACGAACGAACUCCGAAUUAGAGGACAAAACGGUCCGGAAGUGGAAAAAAUUUGCGGUGGUGGCUAGAAAUUGAUGGAAAUAGUGGGAAAAAACACAUAAACUGGACUGUAACAAGAUCUAACCAGUAACAAGACCUCGACCAGGACACAAACUCAACACUACGGACUCUGAAACUGAAAUAUGCAAAGGCUAUGGCGCGGAUGGGUUGUAGGACAUGAAAACAAUAUGGCACUAGACUUAUGGGACGAACACAAGGACACUGGAUAGAUGUGAACCUAACGGUAUUUCUGAAGCUUUGAUUACCACUUGAGGAGAACAAGUGUGGCCCGAUCUUCCGAAAGUUUUUGGUAACUAUCGAUUUGGUGGAAACGAGAGACAUGUCAAUCCAGCUUGUCAACAACACAAUUCGAAACCCUGCAAUUCUUUUUUUUUGAUAUUUUUCUUUACUUAGGACCACUCAAGAAGUAACCACAGGGAAUUCGAGCUUAAACAAGUGAAAGACGUGGCCUGUGGAAUUUUUUGAAGAUUGUGAAAAAUAUGAAAAAAAAACUUUAGGAGGUGAAAGCUCAAACUUCAGAGGCGAAUUUGGGGAUUCUAAAAUUGUCGAACCCGCCAACGGCGGGCAUAGACUGAUCUAAAAAUUUUUUCUGAUGGAUUGUGAUAUAUGGAACGUCAAAAUUAGAGUUCGUAUGCGAAAGUUAUGGCUGUUUUACGAAUGGACUCCGAAUUAGAGGACAAAACAGUGAGGAAGUGGGAAAAUUUUGCGGUGGUGGCUAGAAAUUGAUGGAAACAGUGAGAAAAAACACACAAACUAGACUGUAACAAGACCUAACCAGUAACAAGACCUCGACCAUGGACUCUGAAACUGAAAUAUGCAAAGGCUAUGGCGCAGAUGGGUUGUAGGACAUGAAAACAAUAUGGCACUAGACUUAUGGGACGAACACAAGGACACUUGAAACUAAGGAUAGUUGUGAACCUAACGGUAUGUCUGAAGCUUUGAUUACCACUUGAGGAGAACAAGUGUGACCCGAUCUUCCGAAAGUUUCACGUAACUAUCGAUUUGGUGGAAACGAGAGACAUAUCAAUCCAGCUUGCGAACAACACAAUUCGAAACCCUGCAAUUUUUUUUAUUUUUUUUUUGAUAUUUUUCUUUUACUUAGGAGCACUCAAGAAGUAACCACAGGAAAUUUAAGCUUAAACAAGUGAAAGACCUGGCCUGUGGAAUUUUUUGAAAAUUGUGAAAAAUAUGAAAAAAAACAUUAGGAGGUGAAAACUCAAACUUCUGAGGCGAAUUUGGGGAUUCUAAAAUUAUCGAACUCGCCAAUGGCAAUAGACAGAUCCAAAUUUUUUUUCUGAUCGAUUCUGGUAUAUGGAACGUCAAAAUUAGAGUUCGUAUGCGAAGGUUAUGGCUGUUUUACGAACGGACUCCGAAUUAGAGAACAAAAGGGUCCGAAAGUGAGAAACAUUUGCGGUGGUGGCUAGAAAUUGAUGGAAACAGUGGGAAAAAAUACACAAACUGGACUGUAACAAGACCUAACCAGUAUCAAGACGUCGACCAGGACACAAACUCAAUACUACGGACUCUGAAACUGAAAUAUGCAAAGGCUAUGGCGCGGAUGGGUUGUAGGACACGAAAACAAUAUGGCACUAGACUUAUGGGAUGAACACAAGGACACUUGAAACUAAGGAUAGAUGUGAACCUAACGGUAUGUCUGAAGCUUUGAUUACCACUUGAAGAGAACAAGUGUGGCCCGAUCUUCCGAAAGUUUCUCGUAACUAUCGAUUUGGUGGAAACGAGAGACAUAUCAAUCCAGCUUGCGAACAACACAAUUCGAAACCCUGCAAUUCUUUUUAUUUUUAUUUUUUUGAUAUUUUUCAUUUAUUUAGGAGCACUUAAAAAGUAACCACAGGAAAUUUGAGCUUAAACAAGUGAAAGACGUGGCCUGUGGAUUUUUUUGAAGAUUGUGAAAAAUAUGAAAAAAAACUUUAGGAGGUAAAAACUCAAACUUCAGAGGUGAAUUUGGCGAUUCUAAAAUUGUCGAACCCGCCAAAGGCAGGAUAGACAGAUCCAAAAAUUUUUUCUGAUGGAUUUUGAUAUAUGGAACGUCAAAAUUAGACUUCGUAUGCGAAAGUUAUGGCUGUUUUACGAACGAACUCCGAAUUAGAGGACAAAACGGUCCGGAAGUGGGAAAAAAUUUGCGGUGGUGGCUAGAAAUUGAUGGAAAUAGUUAGAAAAAACACACAAAUUGGACUGUAACAAGACCUAACCAGUAACAAGACCUCGACCAGGACACAAACUUAACACUACGGACUCUGAAACUGAAAUAUGCAAAGGCUAUGGCGCGGAUGGGUUGUAGGAUAUGAAAACAAUAUGGCACUAGACUUAUGGGACGAACACAAGGAAACUUGAAACUUAGGGUAGAUGUGAACCUAACCGUAUGCCUGAAGCUUUGAUUACCACUUGAGGAGAACAAGUGUGGCUCGAUCUUCCGAAAGUUUCUCGUAACUAUCGAUUUGGUGGAAACGAGAGACAUAUCAAUCCAGCUUGCGAACAACACAAUUCGAAACCCUGCAAUUCUUUUUAUUUUUACUUUUUGAUAUUUUUCUUUUACUUAGGAGUACUCAAGAAGUAACCACAGGAAAUUUGAGCUUAAACAAGUGAAAGACGUGGCCUGUGGAAUUUUUUGAAGAUUGUGAAAAAUAUGAAAAAAAAAUUUAGGACGUGAAAACUCAAACUUCAGAGGCGAAUUUGGGGAUUCUAAAAUUGUCGAACUCGCCAUAGGCGAGGAUAGAUAGAUCCAAAAAAUUUUUCUGAUCGAUUCUGGUAUAUGGAACGUCAAAGUUGGAGUUGGUAUGCGAAAGUUAUGGCUGUUUUACGAACGGACUCCGAAUUAGAGGACAAAACGGUCCGGAAGUGAGAAAAAUUUGUGGUGGUGGCUAGAAAUUGAUGGAAACAGUGGGAAAAAACACACAAACUCGACUGCAACAAGACCUAACCAGUAUCAAGACGUCGAGCAGGACACAAACUCAACACUACGGACUCUGAAACUGAAAUAUGCAAUGGCUAUGGCCCAGAUGGGUUGUAGGACAUGAAAACAAUAUGGCACUAGACUUAUGGGACGAACACAAGGACACUUGAAACUAAGGGUAGAUGUGAACCUAACGGUACGUUUGAAGCUUUGAUUACCACAUGAGGAGAACAUGUGUGGCCCGAUCUUCCGAAAGUUUCUCGUAACUAUCGAUUUGGUGGAAACGAGAGACAUAUCAAUCCAGUUUGCGAACAACACAAUUCGAACCCUGCAAUUCUUUUUUUUGAUAUUUUUCUUUUACUUAGGAGCACUCAAGAAGUAACCACAGGAAAUUUGAGCUUAGACAAGUGAAAGACGUGGCCUGUGGAAUUUUUUGAAGAUUGUCAAAAAUAUGAAAAAAAACUUUAGGAGGUGAGAGGCGAAUUUUGGGAUUCUAAAAUUGUCGAACCUGCCAUAGGCAGAGAUAGACAGAUCCAAAUUUUUUUUCUCUGAACGAUUUUGAUAUAUGGAACGUCAAAAUUAGAGUUCGUAUGCGAAAGUUAUGGCUGUUUUACCAACGGACUCCGAAUUAGAGGACAAAACGGUCCGGAAGUGGGAAAAAUUUAGGGUAGUGGCUAGAAAUUGAUGGAAACAGUGGGAAAAAACACACAAACUGGACUCGUAACGAGAGACAUAUCAAUCCAGCUUGCGAACAACACAAUUCGAAACCCUGCAAUGCUUUUUAUUUUUAUUUUUUGAUAUUUUUCUUUUACUUAGGAGCACUCAAGAAGUAACCACAGGAAAUUUGAGCUUAAACAAGUGAAAGACGUGGCCUGUGGAAUUUUUUGAAGAUUGUGAAAAAUAUGAAAAAAAAUUUAGGAGGUGAAAAGUCAAACUUCAGAGUUGAAUUUGGGGAUUCUAAAAUUAUCGAACCCGCCAAAGGCGGGCAUAGACGGAUCCAAAAAUUUUUUCUGAUCGAUUUUGAUAUAUGGAACGUCAAAAUUAGAGUUCGUAUGCGAAAGUAAUGGCUGUUUUACGAACGAACUCCGAAUUAGAGGACAAAACGGUCCGUAAGUGGGAAAAAUUUGCGGUGGUGGCUAGAAAUUGAUGGAAAUAGUGGGAAAAACACAUAAACUGGACUGUAACAAGACCUCGACCAGGACACAAACUCAACACUACGGACUCUGAAACUGAAAUAUGCAAAGGCUAUGGCGCGGAUAGGUUGUAGGACAUGAAAACAAUAUGGCACUAGACUUAUGGGAUGAACACAAGGACACUUGAAACUAAGGAUAGAUGUGAACCUAUGUCUGAAGCUUUGAUUACCACUUGAGGAGAACAAGUGUGGCCCGAUCUUCCGAAAGUUUUUGGUAACUAUCGAUUUGGCGGAAACGAGAGACAUGUCAAUCCAGCUUGUCAACAACACAAUUCGAAACCCUGCAAUUCUUUUUUUUGAUAUUUUUCUUUUACUUAGGAGCACUCAAUAAGUAACCACAGAAAAUUUGAGCUUAAACAAGUGAAAGACGUGGCCUGUGGAAUUUUUUGAAGAUUGUGAAAAAUAUGAAAAAAAACUUUAGGAGGUGAGAACUCAAACUUCAGAGGCGAAUUUGGGGAUUCUAAAAUUGUCGAACCCGCCAACAGCGGGCAUAGACUGAUCUAAAAAAUUUUUCUGAUGGAUUGUGAUAUAUGGAACGUCAAAAUUAGAGUUCGUAUGCGAAAGUUAUGGCUGUUUUACGAACGGACUCCGAAUUAGAGGACAAAACAGUCAGGAAGUGGGAAAAAUUUGCGGUGGUGGCUAGAAAUUGAUGGAAACAGUGAGAAAAAACACACAAACUGGACUGUAACAAGACCUAACCAGUAACAAGACCUCGACCACGGACUCUGAAACUGAAAUAUGCAAAGGCUAUGGCGCGGAUGGGUUGUAGGACAUGAAAACAAUAUGGCACUGGACUUAUGGGACGAACACAAGGACACUUGAAACUAAGGAUAGAUGUGAACCUAACGGUAUGUCUGAAGCUUUGAUUAUCACUUGAGGAGAACAAGUGUGACCAGAUCUUCCAAAAGUUUCACGUAACUAUCGAUUUGGUGGAAACGAGAGACAUAUCAAUCCAGCUUGCGAACAACACAAUUCGAAACCCUACAAUUCUUUUUAUUUUUAUUUUUUGAUAUUUUUCUUUUAUUUAGGAGCACUUAAGAAGUAACCACAGGAAAUUUGAGCUUAAACAAGUGAAAGACCUGGCCUGUGGAAUUUUUUGAAGAUUGUGAAAAAUAUGAAAAAAAAACCUUAGGAGGUGAAAACUCAAACUUCAGAGGCGAAUUUGGGGAUUCUAAAAUUGUCGAACUCGCCAAUGGCAAUAGACAGAUCCAAAUUUUUUUUCUGAUCGAUUCUGGUAUAUGGAACGUUAAAAUUGGAGUUCGUAUGCGAAGGUUAUGGCUGUUUUACGAACGGACUCCGAAUUAGAGAACAAAACGGUCUGAAAGUGAGAAAAAUUUGCGGUGGUGGCAAGAAAUUGAUGAAAACAGUGGAAAAAAAUAUACAAACUGGACUGUAACAAGACCUAACCAGUAUCAAGACGUCGACCAGGACACAAACUCAACACUACGGACUCUGAAACUGAAAUAUGCAAAGGCUAUGGCGCGGAUGGGUUGUAGGACAUGAAAACAAUAUGGCACUAGACUUAUGAGACGAACACAAGGACACUUGAAACUAAAGAUAGAUGUGAACCUAACGGUAUGUCUGAAGCUUUGAUUACCACUUGAAGAGAACAAGUGUGGCCCGAUCUUCCGAAAGUUUCUCGUAACUAUCGAUUUGGUGGAAACGAGAGACAUAUAAAUCCAGCUUGCGAACAACACAAUUCGAAACCCUGCAAUUCUUUUUAUUUUUAUUUUUUGAUAUUUUUCUUUUAUUUAGAAGCACUUAAGAAGUAACCAUAGGAAAUUUGAGCUUAAACAAGUGAGAGACGUGGCCUGUGGAAUUUUUUGAAGAUUGUGAAAAAUAUGAAAAAAAAACUUUAGGAGGUAAAAACUCAAACUUCAGAGGUGAAUUUGGGGAUUCUAAAAUUGUCGAACCCGCCAAAGGCAAGAUAGACAGAUCCAAAAUUUUUUUCUGAUCGAUUCUGGUAUAUGGAACGUCAAAAUUGGAGUUCGUAUGCGAAGGUUAUGGCUGUUUUACGAACGGACUCCGAAUUAGAGAACAAAACGGUCCGAAAGUGAGAAAAAUUUGCGGUGGUGGCUAGAAAUUGAUGGAAACAGUGGGAAAAAAUACACUUAAACUGGAUUGUAACAAGACCUAACCAGUAUCAAGACGUCGACCAGGACACAAACUCAACACUACGGACUCUGAAACUGAAAUAUGCAAAGGCUAUGGCGCGGAUGGGUUGUAGGACAUGAAAACAAUAUGGCACUAGACUUAUGGGAUGAACACCAGGACACUUGAAACUAAGGAUAGAUGUGAACCUAACGGUAUGUCUGAAGCUUUGAUUACCACUUGAGGAGAACAAGUGUGGCCCGAUCUUUUGAAAGUUUUUCGUAACUAUCGAUUUGGUGGAAACGAGAGACAUAUCAAUCCAGCUUGCGAACAACACAAUUCGAAACCCUGCAAUUCUUUUUAUUUUUAUUUUUUGAUAUUUUUCUUUUACUUAGGAGCACUUAAGAAGUAACCAUAGGAAAUUUGAGCUUAAACAAGUGAAAGACGUGGCCUGUGGAAUUUUUUGAAGAUUGUGAAAAAUAUGAAAAAAACUUUAGGAGGUGAAAACUCAAACUUCAGAGGCGAAUUUGGGGAUUCUAAAAUUGUCGAACCCGCCAAAGGCAGGAUAGACAGAUCCAAAAAAAUUUUUUGAUCGAUUUUGAUAUAUGAAACGUCAAAAUUAGAGUUCGUAUGUGAAAGUUAUGGCUGUUUUACAAACGAACUCCGAAUUAGAGGACAAAACGGUCCGGAAUUGGGAAAAAUUUGCGGUGGUGGCUAGAAAUUGAUGGAAAUAGUGGGAAAAAACACACAAACUGGACUGUAACAAGACCUAACCAGUAACAAGACCUCGACCAGGACACAAACUCAACACUACGGACUCUGAAACUGAAAUAUGCAAAGGCUAUGGCGCGGAUGGGUUGUAGGACAUGAAAACAAUAUGGCACUAGACUUAUGGGACGAACACAAGGACACUUGAAACUAAGGGAAGAUUUGAACCUAACGGUAUGUCUGAAGCUUUGAUUACCACUUGAGGAGAACAAGUGUGGCCCGAUCUGCCGAAAGUUUCUCGUAACUAUCGAUUUGGUGGAAACGAGAGACAUAUCAAUCCAGCUUGUGAACAACACAAUUCGAAACCCUGCAAUUCUUUUUAUUUUUAUUUUUUGAUAUUUUUCUUUUACUUAGGGGCACUCAAGAAGUAACCACAGGAAAUUUGAGCUUAAACAAGUGAAAGACGUGGCCUGUGGAAUUUUUUGAAGAUUGUGAAAAAUAUGAAAAAAAAAUUUAGGAGGUGAAAACUCAAACUUCAGAGGUGAAUUUGGGGAUUCUAAAAUUGUCGAACCCCCCAAAGGUGGGGAUAGACAGAUCCAAAAAUUUUUUCUGAUCAACUUUGAUAUAUGGAACGUCAAAAUUAGAGUUCGUAUACGAAAGUUAUGGCUGUUUUACGAACAAACUCCGAAUUAGAGGACAAAACGGUCCGGAAGUGGGAAAAAUUUGCGGUGGUGGCUAGAAAUGGAUGGAAAUAGUGGGAAAAAACAUAGAAACUAGACUCUAACAAGAUCUAACCAGUAACAAGACCUCGACCAGGACACAAACUCAACACUACGGACUCUGAAACUGAAAUAUGCAAAGGCUAUGGCGCGGAUGGGUUGUAGGACAUGAAAACAAUAUGGCACUAGACUUAUGGGACGAACACAAGGACACUUGAAACUAAGGAUAGAUGUGAACCUAACGGUAUGUCUGAAGCUUUGAUUACCACUCGAGGAGAACAAGUGUGGCCCGAUCUUUCGAAAGUUUCUGGUAACUAUCGAUUUGGUGGAAACGAGAGACAUAUCAAUCCAGCUUGCCAACAACAUAAUUCGAAACCCUGCAAUUCUUUUUUUUGAUAUUUUUCUUUUACUUAGGAGCACUCAAGAAGUAACCACAAGAAAUUUGAGCUUAAACAAGUGAAAGACGUAGCCUGUGGAAGUUGAAGAUUGUGAAAAAUAUGAAAAAAAACUUUAGGAGGUGAAAACUCAAAUUUCAGAGGCGAAUUUGGGGAUUCUAAAAUUGUCGAACCCGCCAAAGGAGGGAUAGACAGAUCCAAAAAAUUUUUCUGAUCGAUUUUGAUAUAUGGAACGUGAAAAUUAGAGUUCGUAUGUGAAAGUUAUGGUUGUUUUAUGAACGAACUCCGAAUUAGAGGACAAAACGGUCCGGAAGUGGGAAAAAUUUGCGGUGGUGGGUAGAAAUUGAUGGAAAUAGUUGGAAAAAACAAACAAACUGGACUGUAACAAGAUCUAACCAGUAACAAGACCUCGACCAGGACACAAACUCAACACUACGGACUUUGAAACUGAAAUAUGCAAAGGCUAUGACGUGGAUGGGUUGUAGGACAUGAAAAGAAUAUGGCACUAGACUUAUGGGACGAACACAAGGACACUUGAAAGUAAUGGUAGAUAUGAACCAAACGGUAUGUCUGAAGCUUUGAUUACCACUUGAGGAGAACAAGUGUGGCCCGAUCUUCCAAAAGUUUCUCGUAACUAUCGAUUUGGUGGAAACGAGAGACAUAUCAAUCCAGCUGGCGAACAACACAAUUCGAAACCCUGCAAUUCUUUUUAUUUUUUUGAUAUUUUACUUUUACUUAGGAGCACUCAAGAAGUAACCACAGGAAAUUUGAGCUUAAACAUGUGAAAGACGUGGCCUGUCGAAUUUUUUGAAGAUUGUGAAAAAUAUGAAAAAAAAACUUUAGGAGGUGAAAACUCAAACUUCAUAGGCGAAUUUGAGGAUUCUAAAAUUGUCGAACCCGCCAAAGGAGGGGAUAGACAGAUCCAAAAUUUUUUUCUGAUCGAUUUUGAUAUAUGGAACAUCAAAAUUGGAGUUCGUAUACGAAAGUAUGGCUGUUUUACGAACGGACUCCGAAUUAGAGGACAAAACGGUCCGGAAGUGGGAAAAAUUUGCGGUGGUAGCUAGAAAUUGAUGGAAACAGUUAGAAAAAACACACAAACUGGACUGUAACAAGACCUAACCAUUAACAAGAUCUCGACCAGGACAUAAACUCAACACUACGGACUCUGAAACUGAAAUAUGCAAAGGCUAUGGCGCGGAUGGGUUGUAGGACAUGAAAACAAUAUGGCACUAGACUUAUGGGACGAACACAAGGACACUUGAAACUAAGGGUAGAUGUGACCCUAACGGUAUGUCUGAAGCUUUGAUUACCACUUGAGGAGAACAAGUGUGGCCCGAUCUUCCGAAAGUUUCUCGUAACUAUCGAUUUGGUGGAAACGAGAGACAUAUCAAUCCAGCUUGCGAACAACACAAUUCGAAACCCUGUAAUUCUUUUUUUUUGAUAUUUUUCUUUUACUUAGGAGCACUCAAGAAAUAACCACAGGAAAUUUGAGCUUAAACAAGUGAAAGACGUGGCCUAUGGAUUUUUUUGAAGAUUGUGAAAAAUAUGAAAAAAAAAAUUAGGAGGUGAAAACUCAAACUUCAGAGGCGAAUUUGGGGAUUCUAAAAUUGUCGAACCCGCAAAAGGCAGGGAUAGACAGAUCCAAAAUUUUUUUCUGAACAAUUUUGAUAUAUGGAACGUCAAAAUUAGACUUCGUAUGCGAAAGUUAUGGCUGUUUUACGAACGGACUCCGAAUUAGAGGACAAAACGGUCCGGAAGUGGGAAAAAUUUGCGGUGGUGGCUAGAAAUUGAUGGAAACAGUGGAAAAAACACACAAACUUUACUCUAACAAGACCUAACCAGUAACAAGACCUCGACCAGAACACAAACUCAACACUACGGACUCUGAAACUGAAAUAUGCAAAGGCUAUGGCGCGGAUGGGUUGUAGGACAUGAAAAGAAUAUGGCACUAGACUUAUGGGACGAACACAAGGACACUUGAAACUAAGGGUAGAUAUAAACCUAACGGUAUGUCUGAAGCUUUGAUUACCACUUGAGGAGAACAAGUGUGGCCCGAUCUUCCGAAAGUUUCUCGUAACUAUCGAUUUGGUGGCAACGAGAGACAUAUCAAUCCAGCUGGCGAACAACACAAUUCGAAACCCUGCAAUUCUUUUUAUUUUUUUUGAUAUUUUUCUUUUACUUAGGAGCACUCAAGAAGUAACCAUAGGAAAUUUGAGCUUAAACAAGUGAAAGACGUGGCCUGUGGAAUUUUUUGAAGAUUGUGAAAAAUAUAAAAAAACUUUAGGAGGUAAAAACUCAAACUUCAGAGGCGAAUUUGGGGAUUCUAAAAUUGUCGAACCCGCCAAAGGCGGGGAUAGACAGAUCCAAAAAUUUUUUCUGAACGAUUUUGAUAUAUGGAACGUCAAAAUUAGAGUUCGUAUGCGAAAGUUAUGGCUGUUUUACGAAUGGACUCCGAAUUAGAGGACAGAACGGUCCGGAAGUGGGAAAAAUUUGCGGUGGUGGCUAGAAAUUGAUGGAUACAUUUGGAAAAAGCACACAAACUGGACUGUAACAAGACCUAACCAGUAACAAGAUCUCGACCAGGACACAAACUCAACACUACGGACUCUGAAAUAUGCAAAGGCUGUGGCGCGGAUGGGUUGUAGGACAUGAAAACAAUAUGACACUAGACUUAUGGGACGAACACAAGGACACUUUAAACUAAGGGUAGAUGUGAACCUAACGGUAUGUCUGAAGCUUUGAUUACCACUUGAGGAGAACAAGUGUGGCCCGAUCUUCCGAAAGUUUCUCGUAACUAUCGAUUUGGUGGAAACGAGAGACAUAUCAAUCCAACUUGCGAACAACACAAUUCGAAACCCUCCAAUUCUUUUUUUUGAUAUUUUAAUUUUAUUUAGGAGCACUUAAGAAGUAACCAAAGGAAAUUUGAGCUGAAACAAGUGAAAGACGUGGCCUGUGGAAUUUUUUGAAGAUUGUGAAAAAUAUGAAAAAAAACUUUUGGAGGUGAAAACUCAAACUUCAGAGGCGAAUUUGGGGAUUCUAAAAUUGUCGAACCCGCCAAAGGAGGGAUAGACAGAUCCAAAAUUUUUUUCUGAACAAUUUUGAUAUAUAGAACGUCAAAAUUAGAGUUCGUAUGCGAAAGUUAUGGCUGUUUUACGAACGGACUCCGAAUUAGAGGACAAAACGGUCUGGAAGUGGGAAAAAUUUGCGGUGGUGGCUAGAAUUUGAUGGAAACAGUAGGAAAAAACACACAAACUGGACUGUAACAUGACCUAACCAGUAACAAGACCUCGACCAGGACACAAACUCAACACUACGGACUCUGAAACUGAAAUAUGCAAAGGCUAUGGCGCGGAUGGGUUGUAGGACGUGAAAACAAUAUGGCACUAGACUUAUGGGACGAACACAAGGACACUUGAAACUAAGGGUAGAUGUGAACUUAACGGUAUGUCUGAAGCUUUGAUUACCACUUGAGGAGAACAAGUGUGGCCCAAUCUUCUGAAAGUUUCUCGUAACUAUCGAUUUGGUGGAAACGAGAGACAUAUCAAUCCACCUUGCGAACAACACAAUUCGAAACCCUGCAAUUCUUUUUAUUUUUAUUUUUUGAUAUUUUUCUUUUACUUAGGAGCACUCAAGAAGUAACCACAGGAAAUUUGAGCUUAAUCAAGUGAAAGACGUGGCCUGUGGAACUUUUUGAAGAUUGUGAAAAAUAUGAAAAAAAAUUAGGAGGUGAAAACUCAAACCUCAGAGGCGAAUUUGGGGAUUCUAAAAUUGUCGAACCCGCCAAAGGCGGGGAUAGACAGAUCCAAAAUUUUUUUUCGGAUCGAUUUUGAUAUAUGUAACGUCAUUUUAGAGUUUGUAUGCGAAAGUUAUGGUUGUUUUAUGAACGAACUCCGAAUUAGAGGACAAAACGGUCCGGAAGUGGGAAAAAUUUGCGGUGGUGGCUAGAAAUUGAUGGAAAUAGUGAGAAAAACAAACAAACUGGACUGUAACAAGAUCUAACCAGUAACAAGACCUCGACCAGGACACAAACUCAACACUACGGACUUUGAAACUGAAAUAUGCAAAGGCUAUGACGUGGAUGGGUUGUAGGACAUGAAAAGAAUAUGGCACUAGACUUAUGGGACGAACACAAGGACACUUGAAACUAAGGGUAGAUAUGAACCAAACGGUAUGUCUGAAGCUUUGAUUACCACUUAAGGAGAACAAGUGUGGCGCGAUCUUCCAAAAGUUUCUCGUAACUAUCGAUUUGGUGGAAACGAGAAACAUAUCAAUCCAGCUGGCGAACAACACAAUUCGAAACCCUGCAAUUCUUUUUAUUUUUUUCGAUAUUUUUCUUUUACUUAGGAGCACUCAAGAAGUAACCACAGGAAAUUUGAGCUUAAACAAGUGAAAGACGUGGCCUGUGGAAUUUUUUGAAGAUUGUGAAAAAUAUGAAAAAAAAUUUUAGGAGGUGAAAACUCAAACUUCAGAGGCGAAUUUGGGGAUUCUAAAAUUGUUGAACCCGCCAACGGCAGGGAUAGACAGAUAAAAAAAAAUUUUUGAUCGAUUUUGAUAUAUGGAACGUCAAAAUCGGAGUUCGUAUGCGAAAAUUAUGGCUGUUUUACGAUCGGACUUUGAAUUAGAGGACAAAACGGUCCGGAAGUGGGAAAAAUUUACGGCAGUGGCUAGAAAGCUAUUGAAACGUUUGGAAAAAACACAUAAACUGUACUCUAACAAGACCUAACCUGCAACAAGACCUUGACCAGGACACAAACUCAACACUACGGACUCUGAAACUGAAAUAUGUAAAGGCUAUGGCGCGGAUGAGUUGGAGGACAUGAAAACAAUAUGGCACUAGACUUAUGGGACGAACACAAGGACACUCGAAACUAAGGAUAGAUGUGAACCUAACGAUAUGUCUCAAGCUUUGAUUACCAAUUGAAGAGAACAUGUGUGGCCCGAUCUUCCGAAAGGUUCUGGUAACUAUUGAUUUGGUGGAAACGAGACACAAAUCAAUCCAGCUUGCGAACAAUACGAUCCGAAACCCUACAAUUAUUUUUUUUGAUAUUUUUCUUUUACUUAGGAGCAUUCAAGAAGUAAACACAGGAAAUUUGAGCUUAAACAAGUGAAAAACGUGGCCUGAGGAAAUUUUUUAAGAUUACGAAAAAUAUGAAAAAAAAUUAGGAGGUGAAAACUCAAACUUCAGAGGCGAAUUUGGGGAUCUUAAAAUUGUCGAACCAGUCUAUGGCGGGGAUAGGCAGAUCCAAAAUUUUUUUUAUCGAUUUUGAUAUAAGGAACGUCAAAAUCGGAGCUUGUAUGCGAAAGUUAUGGCUGUUUUACGAACGAACUCCGAAUUAGAGGACAAAAUGGUCCGGAAGUGGGAAAAAUUUACGGUGGUGGCUAGAAAUUGAUGGAAACGAUGGGAAAAAACACACAAAGUGGACUCUAACAAGACAUAACUAGUAACAAGACCCCGACCAGGACACAAACUCAACACUACGGACUCUAAAACUGAAAUAUGCAAAGGCUAUGGCGCGGAUGAGUUGUAGGACAUGAAAACAAUAUGACACUACACUUAUCUGACGAACACAAGGAUACUUGAAACUAAGGGUAGAUGUGAACCUAACGGUAUGUCUGAAACUUUGAUUACCACUUGAGGAGAACAAGUGUGGCCCGAUCUUCUGAAAGGUUCUAGUAACUAUCGAUUUGGUGGAAACGAGACACAAAUCAAUCCAGCUUGCGAACAACACGAUACGAAACCCUACAAUUCUUUUUUUUUGAUAUUUUUCUUUUACUUAGGAGCACUCAAGAAGUAACCACAAGAAAUUUAAGCUUAAACAAGUGAAAGACGUGGCCUGUGGAAAUUUUGAAGAUUGCGAAAAAUAUGAAAAAAAACUUUAGGAGGUAAAAACUCAAAUUUCAGAGGCGAAUUUGUUGAUUUUAAAAUUCUCGAACCAGCCUAUGGUGGGGAUAGACAGAUCCAAAUUUUUUUAUGUUCGAUUUUGAUAUAUGGAACGUCAAAAUCAGAGUUUGUUUGCAAAAGUUAUGGCUGUUUUUCGAACGAACUCCGAAUUAGAUGACAAAAUGGUCCGGAAGUGGGAAAAAUUGCGGUGGUGGCUAGAAAUUGAUGGAAACGGUGGGAAAAAACACAUAAAGUGGACUCUAACAAGACCUAACUAGUAACAAGACCUCGACCAAGACACAAACUCAACACUACGGACUCUGAAACUGAAAUAUGCAAACUCUAUGGCGCGGAUGGGUUGUAGGACAUGAAAACAAUAUGGCACUAGACUUAUGGGACGAACACAAGGACACUCGAAACUAAGGGUAGAUGUGAACCUAACCGUAUGUCUGAAGCUUUGAUUACCACUUGAGGAGAACAAGUGUGGCCCAAUCUUCCGAAAGGUUCUAGUAACUAUGGAUUUGGUGGAAACGAGACACAAAUCAAUCCAGCUUACGAACAACACGAUUCGAAACCCUGCGAUUCUUUUUAUUUUUUUUUGAUAUUUUUAUUUUACUUAGGAGCACUCAGUAAGUAACCACAGGAAAUUUGAGCUUAAACAACUGAAUGACGUGGCCUGUGGAAUUUUUUGAAGAUUGUGAAAAAUAUGAAAAAAACAUUAGGAGGUGAAAACUCAAAUUUCAGAGGCAAAUUUGGGGAUUCUAAAAUUGUCGAACAAGCCUAUGGCGGGGAUGGACAGAUCCAAAAAUUUUUCUAAUCGAUUUAGAUAUAUGGAACGUCGAAAUCGGAGUUCGUAUGCGAAAGUUAUGGCUGUUUUACGAACGGACUCCGAAUUAGAGGACAAAAACGGUUCGGAAGUGGGAAAAAUUUGCGGUGGUGGCUAGAAUUUGAUGGAAACAGUGGGAAAAAACACACAAACUGGACUGUAACAUGACCUAACCAGUAACAAGACCUCGACCAGGACACAAACUCAACACUACGGACUCUGAAACUGAAAUAUGUAAAGGCUAUGGCGCGGAUGGGUUGUAGGACGUGAAAACAAUAUGGCACUAGACUUAUGGGACGAACACAAGGACACUUGAAACUAAGGGUAGAUGUGAACUUAACGGUAUGUCUGAAGCUUUGAUUACCACUUGAGGAGAACUAGUGUGGCCCAAUAUUCUGAAAGUUUCUCGUAACUAUCGAUUUGGUGGAAACGAGAGACAUAUCAAUCCACCUUGCGAACAACACAAUUCGAAACCCUGCAAUUCUUUUUAUUUUUAUUUUUUGGUAUUUUUCUUUUACUUAGGAGCACUCAAGAAGUAACCACAGGAAAUUUGAGCUUAAUCAAGUGAAAGACGUGGCCUGUGGAAUUUUUUGAAGAUUGUGAAAAAUAUGAAAAAAAAUUAGGAGGUGAAAACUCAAACCUCAGAGGCGAAUUUGGGGAUUCUAAAAUUGUCGAACCCGCCAAAGGCGGGGAUAGACAGAUCCAAAAAUUUUUUUCUGAUCAAUUUUGAUAUAUGUAACGUCAUUUUAGAGUUCGUAUGCGAAAGUUAUGGUUGUUUUAUGAACGAACUCCGAAUUAGAGGACAAAACGGUCCGGAAGUGGGAAAAAUUUGCGGUGGUGGCUAGAAAUUGAUGGAAAUAGUGGGAAAAAACAAACAAACUGGACUGUAACAAGAUCUAACCAGUAACAAGACCUCGACCAGGAUACAAACUCAACACUACGGACUUUGAAACUGAAAUAUGCAAAGGCUAUGACGUGGAUGGGUUGUAGGACAUGAAAAGAAUAUGGCACUAGACUUAUGGGACGAACACAAGGACACUUGAAACUAAGGGUAGAUAUGAACCAAACGGUAUGUCUGAAGCUUUGAUUACCACUUGAGGAGAACAAGUGUGGCCCGAUCUUCCAAAAGUUUCUCGUAACUAUCGAUUUGGUGGAAACGAGAGACAUAUCAAUCCAGCUGGCGAACAACACAAUUCAAAACCCUGCAAUUCUUUUUAUUUUUUUCGAUAUUUUUCUUUUACUUAGGAGCACUCAAGAAGUAACCACAGGAAAUUUGAGCUUAAACAAGUGAAAGACGUGGCCUGUGGAAUUUUUUGAAGAUUGUGAAAAAUAUGAAAAAAAAAACUUUAGGAGGUGAAAACUCAAACUUCAUAGGCGAAUUUGGGGAUUCUAAAAUUGUCGAACCCGCCAAAGGAGGGGAUAGACAGAUCCAAAAAUUUUUUCUGAUCGAUUUUGAUAUAUGGAACAUCAAAAUUGGAGUUCGUAUACGAAAGUUAUGGCUGUUUUACGAACGGACUCCGAAUUAGAGGACAAAACGGUCCGGAAGUGGGAAAAAUUUGCGGUGGUAGCUAGAAAUUGAUGGAAACAGUUAGAAAAAACACACAAACUGGACUGUAACAAGACCUAACCAGUAACAAGAUCUCGACCAGGACACAAACUCAACACUACGGACUCUGCAACUGAAAUAUGCAAAGGCCAUGGCGCGGAUGGGUUGUAGGACAUGAAAACAAUAUGGCACUAGACUUAUGGGACGAACACAAGGACACUCGAAACUAAGGAUAGAUGUGAACCUAACGAUAUGUCUGAAGCUUUGAUUACCAAUUGAAGAGAACAUGUGUGGCCCGAUCUUCCGAAAGGUUCUGGUAACUAUUGAUUUGGUGGAAACUAGACACAAAUCAAUCCAGCUUGCGAACAAUACGAUCCGAAACCCUACAAUUAUUUUUUUUGAUAUUUUUCUUUUACUUAGGAGCAUUCAAGAAGUAAACACAGGAAAUUUGAGCUUAAACAAGUGAAAAACGUGGCCUGAGGAAAUUUUUUAAGAUUACGAAAAAUAUGAAAAAAAAAUUAGGAGGUGAAAACUCAAACUUCAGAGGCGAAUUUGGGGAUCUUAAAAUUGUCGAACCAGUCUAUGGCGGGGAUAGGCAGAUCCAAAUAUUUUUUUAUCGAUUUUGAUAUAUGGAACGUCAAAAUCGGAGUUUGUAUGCGAAAGUUAUGGCUGUUUUACGAACGAACUCCGAAUUAGAGGACAAAAUGGUCCGGAAGUGGGAAAAAUUUGUGGUGGUGGCUAGAAAUUGAUGGAAACGAUGGGAAAAAACACACAAAGUGGACUCUAACAAGACAUAACUAGUAACAAGACCUCGACCAGGACACAAACUCAACACUACGGACUCUAAAACUGAAAUAUGCAAAGGCUAUGGCGCGGAUGAGUUGUAGGACAUGAAAACAAUAUGACACUACACUUAUCUGACGAACACAAGGACACUUGAAACUAAGGGUAGAUGUGAACCUAACGGUAUGUCUGAAGCUUUGAUUACCACUUGAGGAGAACAAGUGUGGCCCGAUCUUCUGAAAGGUUCUAGUAACUAUCGAUUUGGUGGAAACGAGACACAAAUCAAUCCAGCUUGCGAACAACACGAUACGAAACCCUACAAUUCUUUUUUUUUAAUAUUUUUCUUUUACUUAGGAGCACUCAAGAAGUAACCACAAGAAAUUUGAGCUUAAACAAGUGAAAGACGUGGCCUGUGGAAAUUUUUGAAGAUUGCGAAAAAUAUGAAAAAAAACUUUAGGAGGUAAAAACUCAAAUUUCAGAGGCAAAUUUGUUGAUUUUAAAAUUGUCGAACCAGCCUAUGGUGGGGAUAGACAGAUCCAAUUUUUUUUCUGUUCGAUUUUGAUAUAUGGAACGUCAAAAUCAGAGUUUGUAUGCAAAAGUUAUGGCUGUUUUUCGAACGAACUCCGAAUUAGAUGACAAAAUGGUCCGGAAGUGGGAAAAAUUGCGGUGGUGGCUAGAAAUUGAUGGAAACGGUGGGAAAAAACACAUAAAGUGGACUCUAACAAGACCUAACUAGUAACAAGACCUCGACCAAGACACAAACUCAACACUACGGACUCUGAAACUGAAAUAUGCAAACUCUAUGGCGCGGAUGGGUUGUAGGACAUGAAAACAAUAUGGCACUAGACUUAUGGGACGAACACAAGGACACUCAAAACUAAGGGUCGAUGUGAACCUAUCUGAAGCUUUGAUUACCACUUGAGUAGAACAAGUGUGGCCCAAUCUUCCGAAAGGUUCUAGUAACUAUGGAUUUGGUGGAAACGAGACACAAAUCAAUCCAGCUUACGAACAACACGAUUCGAAACCCUGCAAUUCUUUUUAUUUUUUUUGAUAUUUUUAUUUUACUUAGGAGCACUCAGUAAGUAACCACAGGAAAGUUGAGCUUAAACAAGUGAAAGACGUGGCCUGUGGAAUUUUUUGGAGAUUGUGAAAAAUAUGAAAAAAAAAACAUUAGGAGGUGAAAACUCAAAUUUCAGAGGCAAAUUUGGGGAUUCUAAAAUUGUCGAACAAGCCUAUGGCGGGGAUG
This 19455-nucleotide long non-coding RNA is filed under the name Sorghum bicolor (sorghum). RNAcentral describes it as "long non-coding RNA (SBIC_LNC010568)". Lineage: Eukaryota; Viridiplantae; Streptophyta; Magnoliopsida; Poales; Poaceae. The record is from RNAcentral.